Molecule: ribosomal RNA, 428 nt
Filed under: uncultured Geobacter sp.
Lineage: Bacteria; Pseudomonadati; Thermodesulfobacteriota; Desulfuromonadia; Geobacterales; Geobacteraceae
Description: bacterial SSU rRNA
Rfam family: Bacterial small subunit ribosomal RNA
Source: RNAcentral
UGGGGAAUUUUGCGCAAUGGGCGAAAGCCUGACGCAGCAACGCCGCGUGAGUGAUGAAGGCUUUCGGGUCGUAAAGCUCUGUCGAGGGGAAAGAAAUGUAUUGUGGCUAAUAUCCACGAUACUUGACGGUACCCCUAAAGGAAGCACCGGCUAACUCCGUGCCAGCAGCCGCGGUAAUACGGGGGGUGCAAGCGUUGUUCGGAAUUAUUGGGCGUAAAGCGCGUGUAGGCGGUUUGUUAAGUCUGAUGUGAAAGCCCUGGGCUCAACCCAGGAAGUGCAUUGGAAACUGGCAGACUUGAAUACGGGAGAGGGUAGUGGAAUUCCUGGUGUAGGAGUGAAAUCCGUAGAUAUCAGGAGGAACACCGGUGGCGAAGGCGGCUACCUGGACCGAUAUUGACGCUGAGACGCGAAAGCGUGGGUAGCAAACA